GAUGAACGCUGGCUACAGGCUUAACACAUGCCAGUCGAGGGGAAACGACGGGGAAGCUUGCUUCCCCGGGCGUCGACCGGCGCACGGGUGAGUAACGCGUAUCCAACCUGCCUCUGACUGAGGGAUAACCCGUCGAAAGUCGGCCUAAUACCUCAUGGCAUCGUCUGCGGGCAUCCAACGACGAUUAAAGAUUUCAUCGGUCAGAGAUGGGGAUGCGUCUGAUUAGCUUGUUGGCGGGGUAACGGCCCACCAAGGCGACGAUCAGUAGGGGUUCUGAGAGGAAGGUCCCCCACAUUGGAACUGAGACACGGUCCAAACUCCUACGGGAGGCAGCAGUGAGGAAUAUUGGUCAAUGGGCGAGAGCCUGAACCAGCCAAGUAGCGUGCAGGAUGACGGCCCUAUGGGUUGUAAACUGCUUUUAGGCGGGGAUAAAGUGAGGGACGUGUCCUUCAUUGCAGGUACCGCAUGAAUAAGGACCGGCUAAUUCCGUG
Molecule: ribosomal RNA, 491 nt
Filed under: uncultured bacterium
Lineage: Bacteria
Description: partial 16S ribosomal RNA
Rfam family: Bacterial small subunit ribosomal RNA
Source: RNAcentral